GGGGAUUUAGCUCAGCGGAAUAAGCACCUGCCUUGCAAGUAGGCAGUCAUGAGUUCAAUCCCCG
RNAcentral lists this transfer RNA (64 nucleotides) under Cavia porcellus (domestic guinea pig). It matches the Rfam family "tRNA". Rfam says of the family: Transfer RNA (tRNA) molecules are approximately 80 nucleotides in length. Their secondary structure includes four short double-helical elements and three loops (D, anti-codon, and T loops). Further hydrogen bonds mediate the characteristic L-shaped molecular structure. tRNAs have two regions of fundamental functional importance: the anti-codon, which is responsible for specific mRNA codon recognition, and the 3' end, to which the tRNAs corresponding amino acid is attached (by aminoacyl-tRNA synthetases). tRNAs cope with the degeneracy of the genetic code in two manners: having more than one tRNA (with a specific anti-codon) for a particular amino acid; and 'wobble' base-pairing, i.e. permitting non-standard base-pairing at the 3rd anti-codon position. Lineage: Eukaryota; Metazoa; Chordata; Mammalia; Rodentia; Caviidae. The record is from Rfam by way of RNAcentral.